RNAcentral lists this ribosomal RNA (484 nucleotides) under uncultured bacterium. Its description in RNAcentral is "partial 16S ribosomal RNA". It matches the Rfam family "Bacterial small subunit ribosomal RNA", at positions 30 to 507 of the family's 1533-position model. The record is from RNAcentral.
AUUGAACGCUGGCGGCAGGCCUAACACAUGCAAGUCGAGCGGAUGAAGGGAGCUUGCUCCUGGAUUCAGCGGCGGACGGGUGAGUAAUGCCUAGGAAUCUGCCUGGUAGUGGGGGAUAACGUCCGGAAACGGGCGCUAAUAACGCAUACGACCUGAGGGUGAAAGUGGGGGAUCUUCGGACCUCACGCUCUCAGAUGAGCCUAGGUCGGAUUAGCUAGUUGGUGGGGUAAAGGCCUACCAAGGCGACGAUCCGUAACUGGACUGAGAGGAUGAUCAGUCACACUGGAACUGAGACACGGUCCAGACUCCUACGGGAGGCAGCAGUGGGGAAUAUUGGACAAUGGGCGAAAGCCUGAUCCAGCCAUGCCGCGUGUGUGAAGAAGGUCUUCGGAUUGUAAAGCACUUUAAGUUGGGAGGAAGGGCAGUAAGUUAAUACCUUGCGGUUUUGACGUUACCAACAGAAUAAGCACCGGCUAACUUCGUG